UGGGGAAUAUUGCACAAUGGGCGCAAGCCUGAUGCAGCCAUGCCGCGUGUAUGAAGAAGGCCUUCGGGUUGUAAAGUACUUUCAGUCGGGAGGAAGGUGGUAAGGUUAAUAACCUUAUCAAUUGACGUUACCGACAGAAGAAGCACCGGCUAACUCCGUGCCAGCAGCCGCGGUAAUACGGAGGGUGCAAGCGUUAAUCGGAAUUACUGGGCGUAAAGCGCACGCAGGCGGUUGAUUGAGUCAGAUGUGAAAUCCCCGGGCUUAACCCGGGAAUUGGAGCUGAUACUGGUCAGAUAGAGUCUUGUAGAGGGGGGAAGAAUUCCAGGUGUAGCGGUGAAAUGAGUAGAGAUCUGGAGGAAUACCGGUGGCGAAGGCGGCCCCCUGGAGAAAGACUGACGCUCAGGUGCGAAAGCGUGGGGAGCAAACAGG
Molecule: ribosomal RNA, 429 nt
Filed under: Chloroflexota bacterium
Lineage: Bacteria; Bacillati; Chloroflexota
Description: Chloroflexi bacterium partial 16S ribosomal RNA
Rfam family: Bacterial small subunit ribosomal RNA
Source: RNAcentral